CGGGACCCCACUGCUAUCGAGGUGGGACUUAGCCAUGCUAGUCGAACGAACAGAAUUAUGUCUGUAAGUGGCAUACUGCUCAGUAACACGUAGCUAACCUACCCUUAGGACGUCGAUAACCCCGAGAAAUUGGGGCUAAUAGGCGAUAGAUGUAUUGUCCUGGAAUGGUAAUACGUCCAAAGGUAUCCCAUACAUGUUUGGUAUACGCCUAAGGAUGGGGCUGCGGCCGAUCAGGCUGUUGGUGAGGUAAUGGCUCACCAAACCUUUGACCGGUACGGGCCAUGAGAGUGGUAGCCCGGAGAUGGACACUGAGACAAGGGUCCAGGCCCUAAGGGGCGCAGCAACCGCGAAACCUCCACAAUGCACUCACGUGCGAUGGGGCUAUCUCGAGUGCCACCUGAUGAAGGUGGCUUUUCCUUGGUCUUCAAAGCCUUGGGAAUAAGAGGGGGGCAAGACUGGUGUCAGCCGCCGCGGUAACACCAGCCCCUCGAGUGGUGGGGAUGAUUAUUUGGCCUAAAGCGUCCGUAGCCGGCCGAGCAAGUCUUCCGUUAAAUCCAGCGUCUCAAGCGUUAGGCUGCGGGAAAUACUGUCUGGCUAGAGAGUGGGAGAGGUCAGCGGUAUUCUGGGGGUAGGGGCGAAAUCCUUUGAUCCCCGGAGGACCACCAGUGGCGAAGGCUGCUGACUAGAACACGUCUGACGGUCAGGGACGAAAGCUGGGGUAGCGAACCGGAUUAGAUACCCGGGUAGUCCCAGCCGUAAACGAUGCAUGCUAGGUGUUGGGUUGGCCACGAGCCACCCCAGUGCCGCAGGGAAGCCGUUAAGCAUGCCGCCUGGGAAGUACGAUCGCAAGAUUGAAACUUAAAGGAAUUGGCGGGGGAGCACCACCAGGCGUGAAGCCUGCGGUUUAAUUGGAGUCAACGCCGGG
Molecule: ribosomal RNA, 925 nt
Filed under: uncultured archaeon
Lineage: Archaea
Description: bacterial SSU rRNA
Rfam family: Archaeal small subunit ribosomal RNA
Source: RNAcentral